UUCUCAAACUCCUGAGCUCAAAGCAGUCCACCCACCUUGGCCUCCCAGAGUUCUGGGAUUACAGGUGUGAGCCAUCUUGCUCAUUCUAGUUUAAACUUUUGAGUGGUUUGUGUCUCCUGAUUGGACUCCUACAAAUACAGAAUUGAUGCUAGGAAGGGUACCAGGAGAUAGACGCACACAGAUGGGAUUUGGGAAUAGGUUUGGUUAUCCAAGGAGCAGUGCUGAGCUCCUUGCAAUGGGAUAUGGGAUGCUGGUGAUUUCCAGGAUGUGAGCUCACAAUGACUCAAGCUGCCACAUACUGUUGAUUGUGAAAUGCCAGUUGAAGCAUAUGUCCUGCGAGCUUAGGGGUGCUACAAGUUGACCACUGCAGCAGUAAAGAUGACUCUGAAGAAUGGCGUGGGUUGGUUCCUUUCAAAUGCACUUGAGCAGCGGUCUCCAACCACAGGGCCACAGAGCUGGAGAUGGACAGUCUAGUUGCAGGAAAACAAGCUCAGAGAUCCCACUGAGUCUACGUUAUACUGGAUCUACCAUGAAAGACUUGUGAAUCCAGGAAGAGAGACUGACUGGGCAACAUGUUAUUCAGGUACAAAAAGAUUUGGACUGUAACUUAAAAAUGAUCAAAUUAUGUUUCCCAUGCAUCAGGUGCAAUGGGAAGCUCUUCUGGAGAGUGAGAGAAGCUUCCAGUUAAGGUGACAUUGAAGCCAAGUCCUGAAAGAUGAGGAAGAGUUGUAUGAGAGUGGGGAGGGAAGGGGGAGGUGGAGGGAUGGGGAAUGGGCCGGGAUGGGAUAGCGCAAACUGUCCGGGAAGGGAAACCAGCACUGUACAGACCUGAACAACGAAGAUGGCAUAUUCUGUUCAGGGAAUGGUGAAUUAAGUGUGGCAGGAAUGCUUUGUAGACACAGUAAUUUGCUUGUAUGGAAUUUUGCCUGAGAGACCUCAUUGCAGUUUCUGAUUUUUUGAUGUCUUCAUCCAUCACUGUCCUUGUCAAAUAGUUUGGAACAGGUAUAAUGAUCACAAUAACCCCAAGCAUAAUAUUUCGUUAAUUCUCACAGAAUCACAUGUAGGUGCCACAGUUAUCCCCAUUUUAUGAAUGGAGUGAUGAAAACCUUAGGAAUAAUGAAUGAUUUGCGCAGGCUCACCUGGAUAUUAAGACUGAGUCAAAUGUUGGGUCUGGUCUGACUUUAAUGUUUGCUUUGUUCAUGAGCACCACAUAUUGCCUCUCCUAUGCAGUUAAGCAGGUAGGUGACAGAAAAGCCCAUGUUUGUCUCUACUCACACACUUCCGACUGAAUGUACGUAUGGAGUUUCUACACCAGAUUCUUCAGUGCUCUGGAUAUUAACUGGGUAUCCCAUGACUUUAUUCUGACACUACCUGGAGUUAGCACAGACCCCACAAGUUAGGGGCUCAGUCCCACGAGGCCAUCCUCACUUCAGAUGACAAUGGCAAGUCCUAAGUUGUCACCAUACUUUUGACCAACCUGUUACCAAUCGGGGGUUCCCGUAACUGUCUUCUUGGGUUUAAUAAUUUGCUAGAACAGUUUACGGAACUCAGAAAAACAGUUUAUUUUCUUUUUUUCUGAGAGAGAGGGUCUUAUU
Molecule: long non-coding RNA, 1595 nt
Filed under: Homo sapiens (human)
Lineage: Eukaryota; Metazoa; Chordata; Mammalia; Primates; Hominidae
Description: HSALNT0355540
Source: RNAcentral